AAAAAAGGUAAGCUACUAAGAGCGAAUGGUGGAUGCCUUGACUGGUAAAGGCGAUGAAGGACGUACUAGACUGCGAUAAGCUACGGGGAGCUGUCAAGAAGCUUUGAUCCGUAGAUUUCCGAAUGGGGCAACCCAAUGUAUAGAGAUAUACAUUACCUAUAUAGGAGCGAACGAGGGGAAUUGAAACAUCUUAGUACCCUCAGGAAAAGAAAUCAAUAGAGAUUGCGUCAGUAGCGGCGAGCGAAAGCGCAAGAGGGCAAACCCAGUGCUUGCACUGGGGGUUGUAGGACUGCAAUGUGCAAGAGCUGAGUUUAGCAGAACAUUCUGGAAAGUAUAGCCAUAGAGGGUGAUAGUCCCGUAUGCGAAAAACAAAGCUUAGCUAGCAGUAUCCUGAGUAGGGCGGGACACGAGGAAUCCUGUCUGAAUCCGGGUCGACCACGAUCCAACCCUAAAUACUAAUACCAGAUCGAUAGUGCACAAGUACCGUGAGGGAAAGGUGAAAAGAACUGAGGUGAUCAGAGUGAAAUAGAACCUGAAACCAUUUGCUUACAAUCAUUCAGAGCACUAUGUAGCAAUACAGUGUGAUGGACUGCCUUUUGCAUAAUGAGCCUGCGAGUUGUGGUGUCUGGCAAGGUUAAGCAAACGCGAAGCCGUAGCGAAAGCGAGUCUGAAUAGGGCGCUUAGUCAGAUGCUGCAGACCCGAAACGAAGUGAUCUAUCCAUGAGCAAGUUGAAGCUAGUGUAAGAACUAGUGGAGGACUGAACCCAUAGGCGUUGAAAAGCCCCGGGAUGACUUGUGGAUAGGGGUGAAAGGCCAAUCAAACUUCGUGAUAGCUGGUUCUCUCCGAAAUAUAUUUAGGUAUAGCGUUGUGUCGUAAUAUAAGGGGGUAGAGCACUGAAUGGGCUAGGGCAUACACCAAUGUACCAAACCCUAUCAAACUCCGAAUACCUUAUAUGUAAUCACAGCAGUCAGGCGGCGAGUGAUAAAAUCCGUCGUCAAGAGGGAAACAACCCAGACUACCAGCUAAGGUCCCUAAGUCUUACUUAAGUGGAAAACGAUGUGAAGUUACUUAAACAACCAGGAGGUUGGCUUAGAAGCAGCCAUCCUUUAAAGAAAGCGUAAUAGCUCACUGGUCUAGUGAUUUUGCGCGGAAAAUAUAACGGGGCUAAAGUAAGUACCGAAGCUGUAGACUU
RNAcentral lists this ribosomal RNA (1193 nucleotides) under Campylobacter jejuni. RNAcentral describes it as "bacterial LSU rRNA". It matches the Rfam family "Bacterial large subunit ribosomal RNA", at positions 1 to 1209 of the family's 2925-position model. The record is from RNAcentral. Lineage: Bacteria; Pseudomonadati; Campylobacterota; Epsilonproteobacteria; Campylobacterales; Campylobacteraceae.